Molecule: ribosomal RNA, 497 nt
Filed under: uncultured bacterium
Lineage: Bacteria
Description: partial 16S ribosomal RNA
Rfam family: Bacterial small subunit ribosomal RNA
Source: RNAcentral
GAUGAACGCUGGCGGCGUGCCUAAUACAUGCAAGUCGAGCGAACAGACGAGGAGCUUGCUCCUCUGACGUUAGCGGCGGACGGGUGAGUAACACGUGGAUCACCUACCUAUAAGACUGGGAUAACUUCGGGAAACCGGAGCUAAUACCGGAUAAUAUAUUGAACCGCAUGGUUCAAUAGUGAAAGACGGUUUUGCUGUCACUUAUAGAUGGAUCCGCGCCGCAUUGGCUAGUUGGUAAGGUAACAGCAUACCAAGGCGACGCUGCGUAGCCGACCUGAGCGGAUGGUCGGCAACACUGGAACUGAGACACGGUCCCGACUCCUACGGGAGGCCGCAGUGGGGAAUAUUGGACAAUGGGCGCAAGCCUGAUCCAGCCAUAACGCGUGGGUGAAGAAGGCCUUCGUGUUGUAAAGCCCUUUUGUUGGGAAAGAAAAGCAGCAGGUUAAUACCCCGCUGUUCUGACGGUACCCAAAGAAUAAGCACCGGCUAACUUCGUG